Manis javanica (Malayan pangolin) is the source of this 3715-nucleotide non-coding RNA. The record is from RefSeq and is a predicted model, not a curated record. NCBI's taxonomy places the organism in Eukaryota, Metazoa, Chordata, Mammalia, Pholidota, Manidae.
ACGUCAGCACGUCGGCGCCGGGUUUUCUCUGGCGGGGCCCGGCUAACCUGCCUUGUGUGUGUGUGUGACUGUGUAUUUCGCACAGCUCAGCCUGGGCGGGGAGCGCCUUGUGCGCUCGUGGGUGGGCACGGUUACUGGGCUUGGUGCUCUGGCUGACCGCCUUCAGCGUCCUGCCGGCCUUUUCCCAGGGCCAUUACUGCUGCGGGGCGCUUCGGAGCAGAGGCGGCUCCCGGGCUCUGCCCGAGGCAGUCGGUGUCCAUCCCUCUGGGCUCGGAUGGGAGGCGGCGGGGGGAGCGGCUUGGGAUGUUCAGUCUGAUGGACAACUGCUGCAGCUGGUUCAAGCGGUGGCGGGAGCCGGUCAGAAAGGUGACUCUUGUGAUGGUGGGACUUGAUAAUGCUGGUAAAACGGCAACGGCAAAGGGAAUCCAAGGAGAGUGUCCUGAAGAUGUAGCCCCUACUGUUGGAUUUUCCAAAAUUUACCUUAGACAAGGGAAGUUUGAAGUCACCAUCUUUGACUUGGGAGGUGGAAAAAGAAUUCGGGGAAUCUGGAAGAAUUACUAUGCUGAGUCUUAUGGGGUAAUAUUUGUUGUGGAUUCCAGUGAUGAAGAGAGAAUGGAAGAGACGAAAGAGACAAUGUCAGAAGUGUUAAGACAUCCUAGGAUAUCAGGAAAGCCUAUAUUGGUGUUGGCAAAUAAACAAGACAAAGAAGGGGCAUUAGGAGAAGCUGAUGUGAUUGAAUGUCUGUCUCUGGAAAAAUUGGCCAAUGAGCACAAGAGCCUAUGUCAAAUAGAACCUUGUUCAGCAGUCUUGGGAUAUGGAAAGAAAAUCGACAAGUCCAUUAAAAAAGGCCUUUAUUGGUUGCUACAUAAUAUUGCAAGAGAUUUUGAUGCCUUAAGUGAACGUAUCCAAAAAGACACAACAGAACAACGUGCUCUUGAAGAACAAGAAAAACGAGAAAGGGCUGAAAGAGUGCGAAAAUUAAGAGAAGAAAGAGAACAAAGAGAGCGUGAGCAGGCUGAACUUGAUGGAACCAGCGGUCUUGCUGAGUUGGAUCCGGAACCAGUAAUUGUUAAUCCUUUCCAGCCAAUAUCAUCUGUAAUUAUUGAGAAUGAAAAAAAAAUUGAAAAAGAGAAAAAGAGGCAAAAUAUGGAUAAAGACAGUGAUGACCGCCCCUUGAAACAUAAAAUGGAGCAUGAACAAAUAGAGACACAGAGCCAAUUUAGUGACAGCAGCCAGAAAAACAAUGAGUAUGGAGUAGUAGAAAAUUAUAAGGAGGCAUUAACACAGCAGUUGGAGAAUGAAGAUGAGACAGACCAGCGAUCAUCAGAAUCAGAUAACAGUAAAAAGAAAAUGAAGAAACUAAGAAUAAAAAGGAGUCACCGUGUAGAACCUGUUAAUACAGAUGACUCUGCUUCUAAGAGUCCAACACCACCACCACCUCCUCCUCCUGUUGGCUGGGGAACCCCCAAAGUCACUAGACUUCCAAAACUUGAGCCUCUUGGUGAAACACGUCAUAAUGAUUUCUAUGGGAAGCCAUUGCCUCCCCUGGCUGUGCGACAGAGACCUAACAGCGAUGCUCAUGACGUGAUCUCAUAACCAAGUCACGUGGGUGAGCUCUUGAUAUUGGCAAGAUGAACUGGAGAAACUUCUUUCUCAAAGAAGAAAAGCCCUGAAUUGAUGACUAGGGCAAGAUAACCAUAGCAAUUUCCAGUGAGGACAUUAAUAGCCAAAGACCUGACUGAUCUGAUAAUUACUUAUUCAUGGUCUUCAUGGUUUAAAAAAAAAAGCAAAAUGACCAGCAAAAGGACAAGCAUUUGGACCAAGUUAGCAAGUAGUGUUGACUCUGGUUUAUAAAUCCGCACUCAUGGACAUAUUCCUGGAAGAAAACCUUUCAGAAAAAGAGCCAAUGGACUCUACACUUUCUUUACUAUUUGUUUAAUAGUCUUUAUUUCUGUAUCAUAAACAUUUUUUGUAAGAUACAUCUUCAUGGAAAGGGAAAUUCUUGGGAAUUUAUAACCUAAAUUUUAUACUUAGUAUAUUUUUCUAAAACUUUUAAGAAUUUUAAUUGCUAUGAUAUUGACUUUGCACUUUUCUAUAGAUGCUUUGUUUAAAUUGUGUCUGGAAAAUCGAGUUCAUUUAUUUUGUAAACAUGAACUAUACAAACAAUACAUUUAUAUGGUUUGAGGUGUGUUUUCUAAUAGUAUUGUUCUUGAAAUAUACAUUCGAAUUUGACCUAUUUUAAAAUAAUACCUUUUUAAAAUAGAUUCUGAGAUCUUUAUUCCACCAAAUUAUGUUAUUUGAAAGCACUACCCAAGGAGAAAGUUCAAUUUUUUUGUUCUUGGUUGUUUUCUUUGGUGAUGAUCUCAGUAAAUGAAAGUCACUUGAAAUACUUUUUUGAUCUAAAUAAAUGCUUUUUAAAUUAAUAAAAAUAUUCUGUGAGAUGUUAUUAAAAGUUCCAAGCAACAUCUUUUUUUAAAGAUUAUACUCUUUCAGAGAUCAAGGUGCUCCUUGUCACUCACUUCCUUGUUCUAUCAGAAUCUGCAGUGACUUUUUUUGGUUAUUCUAAUUCUUUCAUGCCUUAAAAUUAAAGGCAAAAAAGACUGAAAAAGCUGUUCUAGGUCCGGAGACUGGUGUUUCAUAACCAGGAAAGGCUUGGGUACUAAAGCAAUAGGAAUAAAAAUGUUAGUUUAAAAUGACUUUUAUAAAGAAAUGACUCCAAAAUAAUUUCUCAAUUUAAAAUAAUAGUACUUCUCUUGCCCAGAAGAGUGACAUCUAAUAGGAUUCUUCAUUUGUCUGGCAUAUAGACUAACUCUUAGAUAAAUAUGUUGAGUAAUUGAGUCACGUUGCGUUUCACUGAAAUCAUGCAUUUAUGUUAAGGUGAACAUACUAUAAACAGUAUGAUUCCUAUAUCACCUUGUUAAAUGGUCAGUUUAGUAACUUGUGCUGAUAACAGACAUUGGUAUCUGACAGGAAUAUGAUUAAGUAUGCCUAAGGUAGUUUAAAAUGCUCAUUUUUAAAAUUUUACUUCAGAGGAUCACAUUUUAUUCACAUUUUUAACUCAUAAUUCAUUAAUCAGGUCAGUCUAGUCAGUAUCAUUUUAUUAGUUUAGUCAGUAUCAUUUGCAGCUUUUUGGAGUUUUGUACAUGGGUCCUACCCAGCACACUGAGUAAAAAGCAUACUACUUCAGAUAUAAAAUUCUUAACAACCCAAAGUUGAGAGGUGUGUGAAACGUAAGGGAAAGCAACACAAGAAAAAAAAUGUAAAUUUUGAAAUGAAUUUUAGAGAAAAAAUGUGUUUGCAUAUCUUGUUGGUUACUUUGGUAACAUUUUACAUUCAUUUUUUAAAAAACUAAACUCAUACUUUUGCCAUCUUUUUACUAUUCAUCUAGUUUGAGAAUAAAUAUGUUUUUACAAUUUUUGUUUCCUUCCAUUGAUUGUACUUUACUAUGGUGUACAAUAACUACAGAGUCCAUUAUGGACAUUCAUCCAAAUAUGAAUAAAAAUGAUUUUGAAAUUAAAUAUAUGAUAAAUAAAUGCUUAAUAUAUCUCAAAAAAUUAAUUUGUAUUCUUAAAGCACUCUAAAAAUAUUUUAAAAGAGGUUUUGUAAAUCCAGGUGGCUUUUAACAAGUAAUACCUAUUUUGUCAUAUGCUGCAUUUUAAAUUCCUAAUCAUCAUGAGUUAUAACAUUUUCACAGAAUAAAAAUAAUUUAUUAUGC